GAACGUACGCUGGCGGCACGCCUAACACAUGCAAGUCGAACGAAGUAGCAAUACUUAGUGGCAGACGGGUGAGUAACAUGUAGGUAUCUGCCCUUUGGCCUGGAAUAACACGAGGAAACUUGUGCUAAUACCGGAUAAGUCUUUACAGAGAAAGCUUUAUGCACCAUUGGAUGAGCCUGCACUUGAUUAGUUUGUUGGUGGGGUAAUGGCCUACCAAGACUGUGAUCAAUAGCUGAUUUGAGAGGAUGAUCAGCCACAUUGGGACUGAGACACGGCCCAAACUCCUACGGGAGGCAGCAGUGGGGAAUCUUGCACAAUGGAGGAAACUCUGAUGCAGCGAUGCCGCGUGAGUGAAGAAGGCCUUUGGGUUGUAAAGCUCUUUCGUCGGGGAAGAAAAUGACUGUACCCGAAUAAGAAGGUCCGGCUAACUUCGUGCCAGCAGCCGCGGUAAUACGAAGGGACCUAGCGUAGUUCGGAAUUACUGGGCUUAAAGAGUUCGUAGGUGGUUGAAAAAGUUAGUGGUGAAAUCCCAGAGCUUAACUCUGGAACUGCCAUUAAAACUUUUCAGCUAGAGUAUGAUAGAGGAAAGCAGAAUUUCUAGUGUAGAGGUGAAAUUCGUAGAUAUUAGAAAGAAUACCAAUUGCGAAAGGCAGCUUUCUGGAUCAUUACUGACACUGAGGAACGAAAGCAUGGGUAGCGAAGAGGAUUAGAUACCCUCGUAGUCCAUGCCGUAAACGAUGUGUGUUAGACGUUGGAAAUUUAUUUUCAGUGUCGCAGGGAAACCGAUAAACACACCGCCUGGGGAGUACGACCGCAAGGUUAAAACUCAAAUGAAUUGACGGGGACCCGCACAAGUAGUGGAGCAUGUGGUUUAAUUCGAAGAUACGCGCAGAACCUUACCAACACUUGACAUGUUCGUCGCGACUCUAAGAGAUUAGAGUUUUCGGUUCGGCCGGACGAAACACAGGUGCUGCAUGGCUGUCGUCAGCUCGUGUCGUGAGAUGUUGGGUUAAGUCCCGCAACGAGCGCAACCCUCACUUUUAGUUGCCAUCAUUAGGUUGGGCACUCUGAAAGAACUGCCAGUGAUAAGCUGGAGGAAGGUGGGGAUGACGUCAAGUCCUCAUGGCCCUUACGUGUUGGGCUACACACGUGCUACAAUGGUAUCUACAACAGGAAGCAAGACUGCGAAGUUAAGCAAAUCCCUAAAAGAUACCUCAGUUCGGAUUGCACUCUGCAACUCGAGUGCAUGAAGCUGGAAUUACUAGUAAUCGUGGGUCAGCGUGCCACGGUGAAUGCGUUCCCGGGUCUUGUACACACCGCC
This 1321-nucleotide ribosomal RNA is filed under the name uncultured Alphaproteobacteria bacterium. RNAcentral's name for it is "bacterial SSU rRNA". It matches the Rfam family "Bacterial small subunit ribosomal RNA", at positions 27 to 1394 of the family's 1533-position model. Lineage: Bacteria; Pseudomonadati; Pseudomonadota; Alphaproteobacteria. The record is from RNAcentral.